RNAcentral lists this unclassified non-coding RNA (448 nucleotides) under uncultured Cryptococcus. Its description in RNAcentral is "sequence contains ITS2". The stretch from base 1 to 154 matches the Rfam family "5.8S ribosomal RNA". The record is from RNAcentral. Lineage: Eukaryota; Fungi; Basidiomycota; Tremellomycetes.
AACUUUCGGCAACGGAUCACUUGGCUCUCGCAUCUAUGAAGAACGCAGCGAAAUGCGAUAAGUAAUGUGAAUUGCCGAAUUCAGUGAAUCAGCGAAUCUUUGAACGCACCUUGCGCUCUUUGGUAUUCCGAAGAGCAUGCCUGUUUGAUUGUCAUGAAAAUAUCAACCUUGACUUGGGUUUUGUUCUCUAGUCUUGGCUUGUAAUUGGGUGCUUGCCGCUUUUACGAGCGGCUCACCUUAAAUGUAUUAGCUGGAUCUGUCUUUGAGACUUGGUUUGACUUGGCGUAAUAAGUAUUUCGCUAAGGACAUUCUUCGGAGUGGCCUCGUUUCUAGGACGCUUGUCCGCUUCCCAAUACAAGUUCCACCUCGUGGACAUGACUUUUUAUUAUCUGGCCUCAAAUCAGGUAGGACUACCCGCUGAACUUAAGCAUAUCAAUAAGCGGAGGCU